RNAcentral lists this ribosomal RNA (450 nucleotides) under Micrococcus luteus. Its description in RNAcentral is "bacterial SSU rRNA". It matches the Rfam family "Bacterial small subunit ribosomal RNA", at positions 55 to 518 of the family's 1533-position model. Lineage: Bacteria; Bacillati; Actinomycetota; Actinomycetes; Micrococcales; Micrococcaceae. The record is from RNAcentral.
AUGCAAGUCGAACGAUGAAGCCCAGCUUGCUGGGUGGAUUAGUGGCGAACGGGUGAGUAACACGUGAGUAACCUGCCCUUAACUCUGGGAUAAGCCUGGGAAACUGGGUCUAAUACCGGAUAGGAGCGCCCACCGCAUGGUGGGUGUUGGAAAGAUUUAUCGGUUUUGGAUGGACUCGCGGCCUAUCAGCUUGUUGGUGAGGUAAUGGCUCACCAAGGCGACGACGGGUAGCCGGCCUGAGAGGGUGACCGGCCACACUGGGACUGAGACACGGCCCAGACUCCUACGGGAGGCAGCAGUGGGGAAUAUUGCACAAUGGGCGAAAGCCUGAUGCAGCGACGCCGCGUGAGGGAUGACGGCCUUCGGGUUGUAAACCUCUUUCAGUAGGGAAGAAGCGAAAGUGACGGUACCUGCAGAAGAAGCACCGGCUAACUACGUGCCAGCAGCGNC